RNAcentral lists this ribosomal RNA (465 nucleotides) under uncultured bacterium. Its description in RNAcentral is "partial 16S ribosomal RNA". It matches the Rfam family "Bacterial small subunit ribosomal RNA", at positions 28 to 507 of the family's 1533-position model. The record is from RNAcentral.
GACGAACGCUGGCGGCGUGCUUAACACAUGCAAGUCGAACGGAAAGGCCCCUUUGGGGGUACUCGAGUGGCGAACGGGUGAGUAACACGUGAGUAACCUGCCCUUGACUUCGUGAUAACUUCAGGAAACUGGGGCUAAUACCGGAUAGGAAUCCUUGCUGCAUGGUGGGGGUUGGAAAGCUUCGGCGGUUUUGGAUGGACUCGCGGCUUAUCAGCUUGUUGGUGGGGUAGUGGCUUACCAAGGCUUUGACGGGUAGCCGGCCUGAGAGGGCGACCGGCCACAUUGGGACUGAGAUACGGCCCAGACUCCUACGGGAGGCAGCAGUGGGGAAUAUUGCACAAUGGGCGGAAGCCUGAUGCAGCAACGCCGCGGGCGGGAUGACGGCCUUCGGGUUGUAAACCGCUUUCAGCAGGGGCGAAGCUUGUGGUGACGGUACCUGCAGAAGAAGCACCGGCUAACUACGUG